RNAcentral lists this ribosomal RNA (305 nucleotides) under uncultured bacterium. Its description in RNAcentral is "bacterial SSU rRNA". It matches the Rfam family "Bacterial small subunit ribosomal RNA", at positions 338 to 660 of the family's 1533-position model. The record is from RNAcentral.
CCUACGGGACGCAGCAGUGGGGGAUAUUGCACAAUGGGGGGAACCCUGAUGCAGCGACGCCGCGUGAGCGAUGAAGUAUUUCGGUAUGUAAAGCUCUAUCAGCAGGGAAGAAAAUGACGGUACCUGACUAAGAAGCCCCGGCUAACUACGUGCCAGCAGCCGCGGUAAUACGUAGGGGGCAAGCGUUAUCCGGAUUUACUGGGCGUAAAGGGAGCGUAGACGGCUGUGCAAGCCAGAUGUGAAAGCCCGGGGCUCAACCCCGGGACUGCAUUUGGAACUGUGUGGCUGGAGUGGCGUGGAGGCAG